GGCCCCCUGCGUUGUGCGUUUUUGGGGUCGGUGGACCGAGGAACCAAUGUCGCUACCCCGGGGUCCAACUGUCGUCUUGUGGUGUGCAUGCCUCCGCGUUGAGGAAGCCUGAAGCAAGCGCAGGACCCCACCCUUUGCGCUCAGGUUCCGUGAGCGCCACCGGCUUCAGACGGCAACGCGGAGGGCUU
This 188-nucleotide non-coding RNA is filed under the name Vicinamibacteria bacterium. RNAcentral describes it as "6S RNA". It matches the Rfam family "6S / SsrS RNA". Rfam says of the family: E. coli 6S RNA was the first non coding RNA to be sequenced, but its function was unknown until recently. It consists of 184 nucleotides that fold into an extended hairpin structure with a large single-stranded internal bulge. The 6S RNA specifically associates with RNA polymerase holoenzyme containing the sigma70 specificity factor. Lineage: Bacteria; Pseudomonadati; Acidobacteriota; Vicinamibacteria. The record is from RNAcentral.